Long non-coding RNA from Nothoprocta perdicaria, 729 nucleotides. RefSeq lists it as uncharacterized. The record is from RefSeq and is a predicted model, not a curated record. The transcript has 2 exons. Lineage: Eukaryota; Metazoa; Chordata; Aves; Tinamiformes; Tinamidae.
GGAGGAGGAAAAAAUAGAUUUAAAARAGAUUUUAAAAGGAUUUAAGUCCCAACAUGUAGAUAUCCCAGAUGAAGGCAGCGCGUUGGGUGGCCUCGAGUGUGCGCGGCCAGGACUCGCCCGGGAUGGCCUGAGGAGCAGUUCCGUCAUCGUGGUUUGGCUAGACGGUCACUUCUCCAAAAGCGGAUGACUUCAGCCGUGGGUUUGGAGCAYCGUGGCAUCUGCUGCACCCUUGAGAGCGUUCAGGGCUGCUAGGAAGCAGGGCUGCUGAGCUGCUCUGUGGCAAAGACUUGCUCUCAGUUCCUGCGGGUCCUUCCUCAUAUCCCCCUCCCCAGCUGCUGCAAGUGCACAGCUCGGCUGUAGCCGAUAUGAACACCUGAGAAACAGCUUUUAGGCCACAGCAUUUUGCAGCCAUACUGGUGAUGGAACCUCARUAAACUUAAACCUAAAUUAACUUAAACCUAAGUGAAAAUCCCUGCUGAAACACUAGUAGAAGAAUGAGCUGCUGAGCAGYUUAUAUCCCACUACCUUCCUGGCUCUGCUCUAGCUAGAAAGGAAUGAGAGAAACAGUAGGAAAAGCACCAGCAACUUUGCCCAGCACAGGGCAUUUUUGCAGCAUUUGGGGUAAACAUACCUUGCAACUCUGAUCUUGAAGCUUUUGAGCUGCUCUGGAGAACUCCCAUCUCCCUUCUCUGMUUGCAAUUAGCGUCCAUGACCCAGGCUUUGUUUCAC